Molecule: ribosomal RNA, 176 nt
Filed under: Paenibacillus polymyxa
Lineage: Bacteria; Bacillati; Bacillota; Bacilli; Caryophanales; Paenibacillaceae
Description: partial 16S ribosomal RNA
Rfam family: Bacterial small subunit ribosomal RNA
Source: RNAcentral
UUAAUGGAGAGUUUGAUCCUGGCUCAGGACGAACGCUGGCGGCGUGCCUAAUACAUGCAAGUCGAGCGGGGUUAGUUAGAAGCUUGCUUCUAACUAACUUAGCGGCGGACGGGUGAGUAACACGUAGGCAACCUGCCCACAAGACAGGGAUAACUACCGGAAACGGUAGCUAAUAC